This 370-nucleotide unclassified non-coding RNA is filed under the name fungal sp. RNAcentral's name for it is "partial internal transcribed spacer region". The stretch from base 1 to 46 matches the Rfam family "Eukaryotic small subunit ribosomal RNA", at positions 1786 to 1831 of the family's 1831-position model. The record is from RNAcentral. Lineage: Eukaryota; Fungi.
AAGUCGUAACAAGGUUUCCGUAGGUGAACCUGCGGAAGGAUCAUUAGGAAUGAAUGGAGCAGGGGGAGAAGGAGGGCAGCGGGGGCGCCUGCAACCGCUGCCGCCCACCUCUACCUGCCUACCCACUCACUCACUCACCUUGUGCACUGUCCUGUCUUGUGGCCGCAGCACGGCCUGGUCUGGGGCGCGCGUGCUGCCUACGCGGCGCACACGCUGCAGACACGGUCGCGGCCACACUAGAUAUCCACCCACAUUACGUACAUACAUACAUACCUAACCACUCGACUAUGCAACGAGGGCGGCGCGCGCUACUGCCUGCCGCCCGGCCAGGAUUCAUUGACAACUUUUAGCAACGGAUCUCUAGGCUCUU